GGAACAUCGUCGCUGGAUUCAGGUAAGUCACUGAAGGGGUUUUAACCCCUUCAGCAACAUGGGCAGGGUCAGCACGUCCAUACGGCUGCACAGGCGGCCGCCUUAGUGCGCAAGAGCAGGGGGGCAAAAAUCCGAAUCCCCUGCCUCUGGCUCUGUCUCUGGCUGGGGACUCGGAUUUCUCAACUCACCUCGCUCUCCCAGCAGCCAAC
This is a non-coding RNA of Pelobates cultripes (western spadefoot toad), 209 nucleotides long. Lineage: Eukaryota; Metazoa; Chordata; Amphibia; Anura; Pelobatidae. The record is from the annotation of a GenBank genome assembly.